This 442-nucleotide ribosomal RNA is filed under the name uncultured bacterium. RNAcentral's name for it is "partial 16S ribosomal RNA". It matches the Rfam family "Bacterial small subunit ribosomal RNA", at positions 338 to 795 of the family's 1533-position model. The record is from RNAcentral.
CCUACGGGGGGCAGCAGUAGGGAAUCUUUCACAAUGGGCGAAAGCCUGAUGGAGCAACGCCGCGUGCAGGAUGAAGGCCCUCGGGUUGUAAACUGCUUUUAUAAGCGAGAAAUAUGAUGGUAACUUAUGAAUAAGGAUCGGCUAACUACGUGCCAGCAGCCGCGGUCAUACGUAGGAUCCGAGCAUUAUCCGGAGUGACUGGGUGUAAAGAGUUGCGUAGGUGGCAUAAUAAGUAGCUAGUGAAAUCUGGUGGCUCAACCAUUCAGACUAUUAGCUAAACUGUUAAGCUCGAGACCGUUAGGGGUAACUGGAAUUUCUAGUGUAGGAGUGAAAUCCGUAGAUAUUAGAAGGAACACCAAUAGCGUAGGCAGGUUGCUGGGACGGUUCUGACACUAAGGCACGAAAGCGUAGGGAGCAAACGGGAUUAGAUACCCCAGUAGUC